UGGGGAAUAUUGGACAAUGGGCGCAAGCCUGAUCCAGCAAUGCCGCGUGAGUGAUGAAGGCCUUAGGGUUGUAAAGCUCUUUUUACCCGGGAAGAUAAUGACUGUACCGGGAGAAUAAGCCCCGGCUAACUCCGUGCCAGCAGCCGCGGUAAUACGGAGGGGGCUAGCGUUGUUCGGAAUUACUGGGCGUAAAGGGCUCGUAGGCGGCCAACUAAGUCAGACGUGAAAUCCCUCGGCUUAACCGGGGAACUGCGUCUGAUACUGGAUGGCUUGAGGUUGGGAGAGGGAUGCGGAAUUCCAGGUGUAGCGGUGAAAUGCGUAGAUAUCUGGAGGAACACCGGUGGCGAAGGCGACAUCCUGGACCAAUUCUGACGCUGAGGAGCGAAAGCCAGGGGAGCAAACGGGAUUAGAUACCCACGUAGUCCCUGAGCGGGCUGGCAAGGCGCAU
This 448-nucleotide ribosomal RNA is filed under the name uncultured bacterium. RNAcentral's name for it is "bacterial SSU rRNA". It matches the Rfam family "Bacterial small subunit ribosomal RNA", at positions 355 to 825 of the family's 1533-position model. The record is from RNAcentral.